UGGUGGGUAGUUUGACUGGGGCGGUCUCCUCCUAAAGAGUAACGGAGGAGCACGAAGGUUGGCUAAUCCUGGUCGGACAUCAGGAGGUUAGUGCAAUGGCAUAAGCCAGCUUGACUGCGAGCGUGACGGCGCGAGCAGGUGCGAAAGCAGGUCAUAGUGAUCCGGUGGUUCUGAAUGGAAGGGCCAUCGCUCAACGGAUAAAAGGUACUCCGGGGAUAACAGGCUGAUACCGCCCAAGAGUUCAUAUCGACGGCGGUGUUUGGCACCUCGAUGUCGGCUCAUCACAUCCUGGGGCUGAAGUAGGUCCCAAGGGUAUGGCUGUUCGCCAUUUAAAGUGGUACGCGAGCUGGGUUUAGAACGUCGUGAGACAGUUCGGUCCCUAUCUGCCGUGGGCGCUGGAGAACUGAGGGGGGCUGCUCCUAGUACGAGAGGACCGGAGUGGACGCAUCACUGGUGUUCGGGUUGUCAUGCCAAUGGCACUGCCCGGUAGCUAAAUGCGGAAGAGAUAAGUGCUGAAAGCAUCUAAGCACGAAACUUGCCCCGAGAUGAGUUCUCCCUGAGACUUAGAGUCUCCUGAAGGAACGUUGAAGACGACGACGUUGAUAGGCCGGGUGUGUAAGCGCAGCGAUGCGUUGAGC
This 638-nucleotide ribosomal RNA is filed under the name Salmonella enterica subsp. enterica serovar Infantis. RNAcentral describes it as "partial 23S ribosomal RNA". It matches the Rfam family "Bacterial large subunit ribosomal RNA", at positions 2259 to 2891 of the family's 2925-position model. RNAcentral also lists the same sequence under 3 other names. Lineage: Bacteria; Pseudomonadati; Pseudomonadota; Gammaproteobacteria; Enterobacterales; Enterobacteriaceae. The record is from RNAcentral.